Molecule: long non-coding RNA, 401 nt
Filed under: Malus domestica (apple)
Lineage: Eukaryota; Viridiplantae; Streptophyta; Magnoliopsida; Rosales; Rosaceae
Description: long non-coding RNA (MDOM_LNC014912)
Source: RNAcentral
UCAUGAUGAAUCUUGAUGCUUCAUUUGAAUUAUUAUGUGUGUGAAUUGUGAAUGAUGAAUAAUAAAUGAAUUUAAUCUAUAAUGUAUGAGAUAAAGGUACAAAAAAAAAAGUUUUGCCCUUGAAUUGGGUUAAAAAAACAAAAACAUAUUUUGUCCCAAAACAAAAUGGCAAUUACCAUUGCCAUACCAUGCCAACCAAAUUUUUGGCAAUACCGAACUUCGGUAUACCGAAAGUUUGGUACGGUAAUGGUAAUAGAUUUUACCAAAUCGAAAGUUUGGUACGGUAAUUGGUACAAGGGUUUUGGUACGGUAACCGUACCGAACCCACCCCUAGUUAAGUCUCCCAUGGAAUGAAACAAGCAUUAUCUUAUUUUAAAAAUAGAAUAGGAUCAUUUCCCUCC